Molecule: long non-coding RNA, 480 nt
Filed under: Brassica napus (rape)
Lineage: Eukaryota; Viridiplantae; Streptophyta; Magnoliopsida; Brassicales; Brassicaceae
Description: long non-coding RNA (BNAP_LNC023086)
Source: RNAcentral
UUAUAUAUUUAUUAGAAUCAUAAAUUUCACAUUCUAAAAAUUUUAUCUCACCCAUCAACUAUAAACCUUACAUCUAUAUUAGUUAACCCUAGAAUUAUAAAUGUCUUUUACUUUUUAUUAAAAAAAAAUGUAAAAUUGGUUAGUGUAAACAUAAAAAUGGUACUAUGAAUGUUGUAUUUUUGGCAAUUUUUCUUUCCGUUUUCUGACCUAUGCAUUAAGUAAAUUAGGUUUGGAAAAUAAAUAAAAGUAAUAUGUAAGGUAUAACAUAGUUUAUACUAUUGCUUCCAUUUAGCAAAUAAGUAGGGGUUUUUGCAAAUAUGACUCAAAACUUGAAGUCAAACACAAAACUAACUCAUGCUUUUUUUGGAACUUUGACUUGCCUCUUUCAUUCUCAAAGUUCAGAUUAUUCACGAAAAUGUCAUCACUUUUUUUUCAAAAAUGCAUAUUUUACUCUAUCACCCUCAUCUUCCUCAAGUAUUC